UUUUAUUUUGAUAGCAGGCUUGACAUAAAGUUUUAUUUUCUGUUGUUUAUCAGUGAAUGGUUGGUGAAGUAAUGAUUGAAGGAGAUAUUAAAUUGUUGUUUGUGAUAUCAAGUGGCUUGCCUACAAUAAAGAACUAUGAGCAUGUCAUUGAUUUGCAAAUGCUUUCACUACUACCUGUUAUUAAUCAUCCGAUUUCUUACUUCUUCCAUUUAUGGAGGAAUGACGUGAAGAAAGUCCUCCCUAUUCUUAAUCAUCUGAUUUCUUACGCCUUUCAUGUAUCUGUGGAUAUAGCGAGAGAAGUUACAUGAAACACAAAAGAGGGGAGCU
RNAcentral lists this long non-coding RNA (327 nucleotides) under Hordeum vulgare. Its description in RNAcentral is "long non-coding RNA (HVUL_LNC007206)". The record is from RNAcentral. Lineage: Eukaryota; Viridiplantae; Streptophyta; Magnoliopsida; Poales; Poaceae.